GACGAACGCUGGCGGCGUGCCUAAUACAUGCAAGUAGAACGCUGAAGGAGGAGCUUGCUUCUCUGGAUGAGUUGCGAACGGGUGAGUAACGCGUAGGUAACCUGCCUGGUAGCGGGGGAUAACUAUUGGAAACGAUAGCUAAUACCGCAUAAUAGUAGAUGUUGCAUGACAUUUGCUUAAAAGGUGCAAUUGCAUCACUACCAGAUGGACCUGCGUUGUAUUAGCUAGUUGGUGGGGUAACGGCUCACCAAGGCGACGAUACAUAGCCGACCUGAGAGGGUGAUCGGCCACACUGGGACUGAGACACGGCCCAGACUCCUACGGGAGGCAGCAGUAGGGAAUCUUCGGCAAUGGACGGAAGUCUGACCGAGCAACGCCGCGUGAGUGAAGAAGGUUUUCGGAUCGUAAAGCUCUGUUGUAAGAGAAGAACGAGUGUGAGAGUGGAAAGUACACACUGUGACGGUAUCUUACCAGAAAGGGACGGCUAACUACGUG
RNAcentral lists this ribosomal RNA (495 nucleotides) under uncultured bacterium. RNAcentral's name for it is "partial 16S ribosomal RNA". It matches the Rfam family "Bacterial small subunit ribosomal RNA", at positions 28 to 507 of the family's 1533-position model. The record is from RNAcentral.